Molecule: transfer RNA, 92 nt
Filed under: Endocronartium harknessii PhW48OC
Lineage: Eukaryota; Fungi; Basidiomycota; Pucciniomycetes; Pucciniales; Coleosporiaceae
Description: tRNA-Thr (CGT) (tRNA-Thr-CGT-6-1)
Rfam family: tRNA
About the family: Transfer RNA (tRNA) molecules are approximately 80 nucleotides in length.
Source: RNAcentral
GGUCAGGUAGCCAGCUAGCGGUUAAGGCAGCCCAUGCGUGUUGGGUCCGGAUCCCUUGGAUCUGGUCGCUGGUUCAAAUCCAGCCCCGACCA